UACGUAGGUGGCGAGCGUUGUCCGGAUUUACUGGGCGUAAAGAGCGCGCAGGCGGCUGGUCAAGUCCGAUGUGAAAGCUCCCGGCUUAACUGGGAAAUUGCAUCGGAAACUGAUCGGCUGGAAGGUGGGAGAGGGUAGCGGAAUUCCCGGUGUAGUGGUGAAAUUCGUAGAUAUUGGGAAGAACACCGGUGGCGAAGGCGGCUAUCUGGCCCGUAAUUGACGCUGAGGCGCGAAAGCGUGGGGAGCAAACAGG
RNAcentral lists this ribosomal RNA (253 nucleotides) under uncultured bacterium. RNAcentral describes it as "partial 16S ribosomal RNA". It matches the Rfam family "Bacterial small subunit ribosomal RNA", at positions 524 to 776 of the family's 1533-position model. The record is from RNAcentral.